GAUCUGGCUCAGGAUGAACGCUAGCUACAGGCUUAACACAUGCAAGUCGAGGGGCAGCAUGGUCUUAGCUUUGCUAAGGCCGAUGGCGACCGGCGCACGGGUGAGUAACACGUAUCCAACCUGCCGUCUACUCUUGGACAGCCUUCUGAAAGGAAGAUUAAUACAAGAUGGCAUCAUGAGUCCACAUGUUCACAUGAUUAAAGGUAUUCCGGUAGACGAUGGG
Molecule: ribosomal RNA, 223 nt
Filed under: uncultured bacterium
Lineage: Bacteria
Description: partial 16S ribosomal RNA
Rfam family: Bacterial small subunit ribosomal RNA
Source: RNAcentral